GCGAGUCAUUGUAGUAAUACAAGGCAGACGGCUCAGUAACGCGUACUCUACCUAACCUAUGGACGGGAAUAACCUCGGGAAACUGAGCAUAAUGCCCGAUAGAACAUUAUACCUGGAAUGGUUUAUGUUCCAAAUGAUUUAUCGCCGUAGGAUGGGACUGCGGCCUAUCAGUUUGUUGGUGAGGUAAUGGCCCACCAAGACUAUUACAGGUACGGGCUCUGAGAGGAGUAGCCCGGAGAUGGGUACUGAGACACGGACCCAGGCCCUAUGGGGCGCAGCAGGCGAGAAAACUUUGCAAUGUGCGAAAGCACGACAAGGUUAAUCCGAGUGGUUUCUGCUAAAGGAACCUUUUGUCGGUCCUAGAAACACCGAUGAAUAAGGGGUGGGCAAGUUCUGGUGUCAGCCGCCGCGGUAAAACCAGCACCUCAAGUGGUCAGGAUGAUUAUUGGGCCUAAAGCAUCCGUAGCCGGCUUUGUUAGUUUUCGGUUAAAUCUGUACGCUCAACGUACAGGCUGCCGGGAAUACUGCAGAGCUAGGGAGUGGGAGAGGUAGACGGUACUCGGUAAGAAAGGGUAAAAUCCUUUGAUCUAUUGAUGACCACCUGUGGCGAAAGCGGUCUACCAGAACACGUCC
This 633-nucleotide ribosomal RNA is filed under the name uncultured crenarchaeote. Its description in RNAcentral is "bacterial SSU rRNA". It matches the Rfam family "Archaeal small subunit ribosomal RNA", at positions 53 to 692 of the family's 1478-position model. The record is from RNAcentral. Lineage: Archaea; Thermoproteati; Thermoproteota.